Long non-coding RNA from Papaver somniferum (opium poppy), 2178 nucleotides. RefSeq lists it as uncharacterized. NCBI's taxonomy places the organism in Eukaryota, Viridiplantae, Streptophyta, Magnoliopsida, Ranunculales, Papaveraceae. The record is from RefSeq and is a predicted model, not a curated record. The transcript is spliced from 3 exons.
AAAAAUGCUAACUUUUUUUUCGUUGCUCCCGAAUUUUCGUCUACGCACGUAUGUUUGGGACGUCGCACGUAUUAUUCAUGAAGCCCGUCUUUUUAGUAUGCGUCGUUCGAUUCUGUCCAUAUCCAAGUAGAUCCGUUGGAUACUACUAAACUACGAAGUAGCCCGUUUACAAAACAACACUUUCCUUUUUAUUUCUCCUCGAUCAUUCGUCUUCUUCUACCUUGAUUCUCUCUGGCUGUCUUCUCAACAACUGAAUCUUCAAUUGUGUUUCGAACAACGGAGAUCAAGAAUUGAAUUAAUUGUUUUCUUUUCUUCGAUUAAGCAUGACUAAAAUCGUUUAAACUGAGCUGUAAUUCUAGGGUUAUUUUCGGGGGUUUUAUUUGAUUUAUGUUUAUCAACGGUUUACUAAAAUCUUUCAAUUUCAUUUUUUUACAUUGAAUUCGUAAUAUCGGUGGUUUGGAUUAUGGUUCCCCACUUUGUUAUUCGAAUUUGUACUUCGAUGGUUUUUUCUGAAAUACAAAAACCUUUAUGGAUUGAGUUUAGUGUUCAAAUAUCUGGGUUGUAUGUGGCUAUUAGAUGCAUGGGCUAACGUUGGUGAUGAAGAUGGUGGUUCAAAGUUAAUCCAAUUGACGAUAGAUUAGUUGGGUUAUCAUCUUCUUCCAUUAGUAAUGUGAUUCCGAAAUGCUAAUUGGGUAAAUUCAUUUUGUAUUGUAACUUGGAAUUCUGAAGUUCUGUAAGAAUUUUAGGGGGUUUGCUUGAUUUGUGUUUCUAUGGAAAAUAUAAAAUCUUUUGUCUUUCUUCAUACAGAUGGAAAUGAGUUUUUAGUAGUCACUAAAAAGUCAGGCUUUUUGUUUCUUAAUUAGUACAGUACUAUUUUUAGGAGAACUUCAUUGCAGAAUUGUGAGAAGUUAGGGCUAUGAGUUUCAUAUUUCAGGUGGUUCAGAUGAUUACGUUAUAUUCGUUGAGUGAGCUUGGCAACCAUGUCAAAUGUUUAAAAGCUAUGGACUAUAAAUUCAGUGGUGAAACAAGAAGGAAAUAGAAUGGAAAACUAGCGAGUCCAGUUGGUAGAGUGAACAUGAGAAUCAAAGUCAAACAACUUUUCUAUUAUACAUUAUGGUUGUUUUCUUUUGCAAUUUUCAUGACGCUUUUCAAACCACAAUCUUUGUGUGAUGUUAACUGGUGCAGAUUUUUCCAAUUGGAAUAGAAUGAAGCUUUGUUACUGUGAUGGUGAUCAAAUGCUUUCAUGUGCUUAGAUUUAUUUGAUGUUGUUACAUGUAGACUAUGUAGUCUGUGUUAGAGACUGGAAAAUCAUUUAUUAGGUUUGCCAAUAUGAUGCUGGGUUCUGUUCUAUGCACUGCAGUUGGAUUCCCACUUGGUUGGGCUCAUUUGAAGCUUAUGAAGAAGGUAGAGGAACAAAGGCUGGCUUAUGAAAAUCUAUGCUUCCAGAUGAGAGAAAAGAAAAGGCUGGGGUUGGCCGUGCCAUUGACAGGCUUGAGGAGAACUUCAGAAGAUCGAAAUAACAGAUACAAGAAGAAAGUUACAUCUAGUCUUGACUGUAUUUGCAGACCUCUCCCCCUUCAGUUACAAAUUUGCUAAUUCCCAUUACAGCUAAAUCCGGAUUUCAUUCAUAAAGAAAAUGUUACAGAACUCCCUUUUGUUGAGGUGUAUCGACAUGCAACGCACGUGCACUCUGCUUGUACAAUUAAGGGGGUUUCGAACAGGGCAUAGCAGGACCUAUCACAGCCUCAUCCCUGGAAGAAGCAGAAGCUUUAGGACUUCUGCAAGCAUCACUUGGACAACAGAGGAAAGCCUAUCAAAUCUCAGUGUGGAGGGAGGCUGUAAGAAUCUUUUUGAUUACUUGAAUGAAAUAUCUUCUCAAAUUUCUGGCAGAAUCAGACUAUUUAUGGAUGAAGUAAAAAGAGACUUCAAUCGUUAUCAUAAUUUUUUAGGUUUUUUUUUACAUUCCAAGAUUAGCAAACAAUGUAGCUGAUAUUUUAGCAAAGGAGGCUAAAUCUUUUAAAACAAUUACCAAUUGGAGGAAUGAACCUCCAUCUUGUAUUUUGAAUGCUUUAGAAGUAGAUAAAUCUAAUGUUGGGUUGGAAUUGAUAACCCAAUAUUAGAUGGCUCUACUAUCCCUGGUGUAAGGGUUACCAACUCCCUAAGUUAGCAUUUGAAUAC